GAAUGACUUUAUAGGUCUCAUAGGUGGGUGAACUUGGAAAAGAAGCAAAGUAGCCAACUUUCUCAAGUUUUGAUGGCUAUUUGUGCCCUACUGAUGCAUGUGAAAAGUUUUGAUGAGUUUGGCCAUAGCCUUUCAUCAGCUGAACAGGUCACUUUCCUGCUGCAAUAUUUUCUGAAUAGGCCUUAGUUUUUGUCCAUGGAUUAGUUUCACUUUGAAGCAUUUUAUCAUCACUUUGAGUAGUGGACUGUAAAAGAUUCUCCACUAUCAUAAAUUUGCAGAAGGAUGGGGAGGAAUGCAUGAGUUAAUUAUCUAAUGUAUAUCUUUUAUCUCUGUAGUGGCUAUUUGAGCCACUACCGGAAUGACUUUAUAGGUCUCAUAGGUGGGUGAACUUGGAAAAGUAGCCAACUUUCUCAAGGGUCUUUUUAGCCCUACUGAUGCAUGUGAAAAGUUUUGAUGAGUUUGGCCGUAGCCUUUCAUUAGCUGAACAGUUCACUUUCCUGCUGCAAUAUUUUCUGAAUAUGCCUUAGUUUUUGUCCAUGGAUUAGUUUCGCUUUGAAGCAUUUUAUCAUCUUUGACAUACAUCUAAAUUAUGGACCAUACUGAUGUCAGGGAAAGGGCAAAUUUUGUUCCUACUCUUAGGACAAUGGAUAUUAUGAUAUUUGCUUCCACGGCAUUCCCUAAAGAAAUGUUAUCAUAGAUCUGGGGAUUCUCAACAACAAAAGAAUUUUUGCCAGUUCAAGUAUAAGACAAGUUUCUACAUGGGCUGUCAGCUUCUUUCAGCAGGAAAUCUGAGAGAAGAUUUUCCAUGGCCUGUCAACUUCAAUCUCAGGCACCAAAUCCAACUAGGGUCUGAUUUAGACCUCUUCUCUGUUGGACUCUGAUACCAGGAUACUGAGCAUCUGUCACUAAAGGACUAGCCUAAAGAAAAAAAGAAGCUAUGUAUCAUUUCCUCUAUAUCUUCCAAGUUAUCUUGUUUCUCCCAAUCCUCAGCCAUUUCUUCAAGUCAGAAACUGGUGAAGAGAAGGGAUCCAAUGUGGUGUACCAUACCACACUCUGUACCACUCACUUUGGUCGAGUGAGGUUUCAAGUCUUAUAGUGCUCCAAAUAUCAGCGAGACAUAUAUCAUGGCAUGUUGCAGCUCAUGGAAGCAACUUCUUGUGGAGAACUCAUCCCUCAGCCUCUACCCUCAUGUCUGAAGUAUGCAAUCAUGUCUCUGGACCAUCUAUGCUGCGGUCUUUGAGAGGACAAGGUUAUCAUCACCUUUGACUUUGACGAGGCUUCUCGCACAUUUCAUGCAAGGCCUGGAGAACAAAAUCCCAUCCCUGUGGUGAACUUAAGGGAAGAUGCUAUUCUCUUUCACCUUCCAAACCCAAAAUGAAAUGAUCUUGAGAGAGCAUUUGGCAGUCUUGUGGUGGUCUUCUGACUUUACUUUCACAAAGUUGCAUAUGAUUGAAGAAAGAAAGAAAAACUCUUCCACCUUAUGGAUGGAUAACUUUGGAUAUGGUUUCUAUCCACAAGAAAGCAUCUGGAGCUUGAGUUCCCUGUAAGGCUUUUCUUCUCUUUACACAACUUGCAUACCUCUUUCUUCCCCCUUUCAAACAAUAGCCAAUUUAUAUUUUAUAUUUCAGAAAAUCUAGCAUGUUUUUAAUCAUUUCUAAGGUCAGUCACCUCUUUAUAUCCUUAUACUUUUAUAAACCUUUAUCUACUUGAAUGCUAGAUGCCAUGUUACAGAUGCUUGUGCA
Musa acuminata subsp. malaccensis (wild Malaysian banana) is the source of this 1742-nucleotide non-coding RNA. Lineage: Eukaryota; Viridiplantae; Streptophyta; Magnoliopsida; Zingiberales; Musaceae. The record is from RefSeq and is a predicted model, not a curated record.